UACGGGGGGAGCAAGCGUUGUUCGGAUUUACUGGGCGUAAAGGGCGCGUAGGCGGUCGUGACAAGUCACUUGUGAAAUCUCCGGGCUUAACUCGGAACGGUCAAGUGAUACUGUCGGACUAGAGUACAGAAGGGGCAACUGGAAUUCUCGGUGUAGCGGUGAAAUGCGUAGAUAUCGAGAGGAACACCUGCGGCGAAGGCGGGUUGCUGGGCUGAUACUGACGCUGAUGCGCGAAAGCUAGGGGAGCGAACGGG
This 254-nucleotide ribosomal RNA is filed under the name uncultured bacterium. Its description in RNAcentral is "partial 16S ribosomal RNA". It matches the Rfam family "Bacterial small subunit ribosomal RNA", at positions 524 to 776 of the family's 1533-position model. The record is from RNAcentral.